This 3803-nucleotide long non-coding RNA is filed under the name Sus scrofa (pig). RNAcentral describes it as "lncRNA (ENSSSCG00040028070.1)". Lineage: Eukaryota; Metazoa; Chordata; Mammalia; Artiodactyla; Suidae. The record is from RNAcentral.
GUCUUUUUAGGGCACACCCACUGCACAUGGAGGUUCCCAGGCUAGCGGUUGAAUCGGAGCUACAGCUGCCAGCCUACACCACAGCCACAGCAACGUGACAUCCGAGCCACGUCUGUGACCUAUACCACAGCUCACAGCAAUGCCGGAUCCUUAACCCACUGAGCAAGGCCAGGCAUCGAACCCACAACCUCAUGGUUCCUAGUCAGAUUCAUUUCCCCUGUGCCACGACGGGAACUACAGAGUUUACCAUCUUAAUUUGAGUUUUGGCAGAAAGUAAAGAUGGACAAGUUUAUACACAAUAGCUGAUGAUUCAGUAUUUCUUUCUUGGUCUCUAUGAAUUACUAUUCCUUCUGAGAAUUUUGCAGGUAAUCAAAAGUUAUUUAUUAACAAUUUAAAUUGGUCCAAAGUUAUAAAAUCAUUCAGGUUGAGACGACAGAGAUGAACGUAAUCACUAUCGAUCUUAGACUUUUUCAGAGGUGAAAUUUUAAAUUUUUACCAAGAGAGUAAGUGGAAUAAUCAAGUCAAAUGAUUUGCAGCAUUGUCUAAAGUUCACAAGAGCAAAUAGUUUUUAAAAAUACAAAUGUAUGUCCUGUGUUAAUUAGAUUAAAUGCAUAUGUUCAAAUUUAGGUUUGCUUCCCAGAAAUUGAGACAGCAAAGUGAAUCUGAAGAUGGGGAACAAAUCCCUUUCUUCCCCAAAAAUCAAGUUAAGGUGAUAGAAAUCAAAUUAGUGUCUGGAGUCGGGAGGACUGAUUGCAAAAAGGCAAGAGGGAACUUUCUGAGACAGGAAAAAUGUUCUAUGUAUCAAUUGGGGUGGUGGUUACACUGUGUAUGCAUCCCUCAAAACUCAUCAAGCUGAUACUUUAAAACGCUUCAAUUUGUAUGAUUUAAAGUACACCUCAAUAAAGUUGAUUGAAAACCAUAAAAAGAUCGAAUGUUUCAGCUGUGCAGUUUGUAAGCUUUAGCAACAGAAAACCAAAUAGGUCAUAUGUCAAGGACAGCACAAUCAAAUGUGCUAUCCAGACUCACAGACGCAGAGAAUAGACUUGCAGCUGCCAAGGGAGUGGCGGGGACUGGGAAUUUGGAGUUAGCAGAUGCAAACUAUUCCAUAGAAUGGAUAAGCAAUGGGGUCCUGCUGUAUAGCACAGGGAACUGUAUCCAAUCACUGAUGUAAGAUAAUAUGAGGAAAAGAAUAUAUAUAUAUUCAUAUAUGUAUAUGAAUGAUUGGGUCACUUUGCUGUACAGCAGAAAUUGACAGAACAUUGUAAAUCAACUAUACCUUAAUUUAAAAAAAUUGUAAAGUAUAAAUAUACUGUUUCCUUUUUUGCCCCCUAAUUUAGUAGAUCAGUUUUUUCUUUUCUUUUCUUUUUGUCUUUUGUCUUUUUAGGACUGCACCCGUGGAGUAUGGAAGUUCCCAGGCUAGGGGUCUAAUCGGAGCUACAGAUGCUGGCCUACACCACAGCCACAGCCAUGCCAUAUCUGGGCCAAGUCUGCAACCUACACCACAGCUCACGGCAAUGCCAGAUCCUUAACACACUUAAGGAGGCCAGGGAUUGAACCUGCAACCUCGUGGUUCCUUUCCACUGCGCCACAAGGGGAACUCCCAGAUCAGUUUUUUUCAAAUUCAAAUUAUUUAAACAAAAACAUCCGAGACACAGUUUAGAAGGAUUACAGGGUACAAGGCUCCCAGACCAGUUCCUGACACUUUCUCCUCAGCCCAGGGAUUCUGUCAACUUGAAGUUAGAGCGAGCAAGAAAACAAGCUCUAACUUCAUCAAGAGUCCUUCCCACAUCUACUAUUUACAGAAUAAGCACUGACUUCGGAUAUUUACAAAUGUUCAUCCAAUGCCUUUUGUUCAUCUUGCUUCUACCAUGGUCUUCAAAAGUAAAUUUUAAAUUCAAGAGCUUAAACUUGGAGUUCCCGUCGUGGCGCAGUGAGUGGUUAAAAAAUCCGACUAGGAACCAGUGAGGCUGCGGGUUCAAUCCCUACCCUUGCUCAGUGGUUAAGGAUCCGACGUUGCCGUGAGCUGUGGUGUAGGUUGCAGACGCGGCUUGGAUCCUGCGUUGCUUGGUGUAGGCCAUCGGUUACAGCUCCAAUUCAACCUCUAGCCUGGGCACCUCCAUAUGCCACGGGUGUGGCCCUAAGAAGACAAAAAAAGAAAAAAAAAAAAGAAAGAAAAAAAAUCUAUGGACACAGAAAAAGGCAGUUCUAAGGGGAAAGUUUAUAGCAAUCUCAAGAAACAAGAAAAAGCUCAAAUAAGCAAUCUACUCUUAAGCCUAAAGGAAGUAGAAAAAGAAUAAAACCCAAAGUUAGCAAAAGAAAGGAAAUAAUAAAGAUCAGAACAGAAAUAAUUGAAAUAGACUUAAAAAUAGAAAAGAUUAGUAGUUCCCAGUUGUGUCCCAGGGGGUAACAAACCUGACUAGUACCCAUGAAGAUACCGGUUUGAUCCUAGGCCUUGCCAGUGUUGCCAUGAGCUGUGGUGUGUUGUAGAUGCAGCCCAGAUCCAUGUUGCUGUGGCUGUGGCGCAGGCUGGCAGCUAUUGCUCCCAUUUGACCCCUAGCCUGGGAACUUCUAUAUGCCGCCAGUGAGUCCCUAAAAAGGGAAAAAAAAAAAAAAAAAAAAAAAAAGAGAGAGAGAGAGAGAGAGAAAGAAAAGAAAGACAAAACAAGACAAGGAGCUCGCUUGUGGCACAGUGGGUUAAGGAUCCUGCAUUGUCACUGCGGUGGUGCAGGUUCAAUCCCUGGCCCAGGAACUUCCAUAUGCCAUGGGCAUGGCCAAUAAAGAAAGACUUAUAAAACUACAAAUUGGUUCUUUGAAAACAUAAACAAAACUGACAAAUAUCUAGCCAGACUAAAAAAAAAAAAAAAAAAAGAGGGGGGCCAAAUAAAUAAGAAAAGUGGAGAAAUUACAACUGACACCACAACAGAAAUAUAAAAGUACGCACGGAAACACUAUGAACAAUUAUAUGCCAAUAAAUUAGACAACAGAAGAAACUGAUAAAUUCUUAGAAACAUACAAUCUUCCAAGACUGAAUCCUGAGGAAACAGAAAAUCUGAAUAGAUCAAUGACUAAUAAUGAAGUUGAUUAUGUAAUUUAAAAAAAAAAAACUCCCAAAAAGCACAAGUCCAGGUCCAUUCUAAGUUCCUCUUUCACGCUGUGGCAUCUGGGAACCCGAUAACGCUACUAGAAAUCCCCCUGCCACUCCUUUCAGGGGCCCUGCCGCAGAGGCGAGCAGGUGAACGGAGAACUGAGGUGAGAAGCCAAAGGACGUGGAACUACUACCCUUGAAUAGGAAAAGGCCAUGCAGUUAACACUCUCCUUCCUCAGCAACCUUCUGCCCCCGCCCUCUUCCAACCCUGCCUUCAUUCUGCCUUCUUUUGUUCCUCUCUCUCCUUCGCCCACCUUGCUCACCUUUCCUCCCUGCAGUUGAAUAACUCUCCGGCUGGCAGCCGUUCAGGGUCUAUGAGGAGCGGGUAGUUUACAAGAAGCCGGGCCCAGAGUCCUGGAGAGGUGCGGUCAGGUGGCGAGGCUCGGGGACUCUCGGUCCGGGUUUCGGUCCGCCGCCCGCAUCCCCGCCUGGGCACCAGGCACCUCACAGGUGGGAGGGCCGAGCUCGCGGGCUGAACCUGGCGGAAGGGAAGCGGAGCCCCGGAAUCAGCGCAGACAAGCUGGGAGAAUCCUGGGGGAGGCGACUGAGGGCUGGACAUCAGGUCACCGCGGAACCCUCAGAGGGACUUUUAGGAACCCGCUACCCUGGCGGAGCUCAGAGAAGAACCCAGCAGCUCUUAUAGCCGGAAGGUGGUGCC